CUGAUCAAGUCAACGAGUUUACAACCUUGGCCGGAAGGUCUGGGUAAUCUUUUGAAACUUGAUCGUGCUGGGGAUAGUCCANUGCAAUUAUUGGACUUCAACGAGGAAUUCCUAGUAAGCGUGAGUCAUCAGCUCGCGUUGAUUACGUCCCUGCCCUUUGUACACACCGCCCGUCGCUACUACCGAUUGAAUGGCUUAGUGAGGCUUUCGGAUUGGAUUCUGGCAGCUGGCAACAGCAGCUAGAAACUGAAAAGUUAUCCAAACUUGCUCAUUUAGAGGAAGUAAAAGUCGUAACAAGGU
This 300-nucleotide ribosomal RNA is filed under the name uncultured fungus. Its description in RNAcentral is "SSU rRNA". It matches the Rfam family "Eukaryotic small subunit ribosomal RNA", at positions 1503 to 1800 of the family's 1831-position model. Lineage: Eukaryota; Fungi. The record is from RNAcentral.